Long non-coding RNA from Mus musculus (house mouse), 1324 nucleotides. RefSeq annotates it as predicted gene, 42310. NCBI's taxonomy places the organism in Eukaryota, Metazoa, Chordata, Mammalia, Rodentia, Muridae. The record is from RefSeq and is a predicted model, not a curated record. The transcript has 3 exons.
ACAUCCUUUAUUUAAGCGGGGCUGCCUAAGGCGAAGCUGAUUAAACAACCUCUCCACUGCUACACUUUCUUCCCUGGGGCUUUGUGCUACCUCGGGCUUUCUUCUUACCUCUCCUGUGAUCUUUUGCCUUCUGUUCUCGCUCUUCCUUCCAUUCCCCCUCUGCACUCUGUUUCCAUGCGACCUGUCUAUUCUUCCACUUUUAACUAUAGCAGACUUGAGGGUAUGUCUUUAAACACACACACACACACACACACACACACACACACACACACACACUGAACACACUACCUUUCUCCAAUUCACUUCUACCUCUCCCUCAGCUCAGCUCCUCCUUUCUCUUUCGAGGCCAGUUGCCACCAUGACAAACUACAUUCUCUCCCAGCAUUGUCUUUGCCUGAGGCCCUUUUGUAUUUCAUUUCCCUAAAUCUCAGGCCUAAGGUGCUCCUAUGAUUCCUUCUCUUGAGGUCUUAUUUCCCUUCCUUUUCGGAAUUCACACCUCCUCUCUGUUCUCAGCAAAAACAAUGUCUUAAUUCUGAACACAUCUUGCUAUUUAAUGGAAAGCUUGACGUUGUAUGUAGUCUCGGAAGACAGAAACUAAGACUGUCACAUUUGAGGCACCCUUGAUGGCUCAUCUAGCUACACAGCACACCAGAAACACCUUCCGUAUCGCAGGCAUUCAGUAAAUAUCAGGGUGGCAGAGACAGAGUUAAGAACAUGGUCCCAGGAGUCAAGCAAGGCUAGGGUUCAAAUUGUGUCUCAUCUCUGAUCAUCGCUGGGACUUUGGGAAAGUGACUAAUCUCUCUGCGUCUCACCUCCUCUUCUGUAAAAGGGUGUCUCACUGAAUCUGCAGCUAGGCUGGUGGUCAGAAAGCUCCUGUGACCCUCCAGUCCUCACCUACCUACAUCUCACAGCAGAGAUAAAGGACAGGACGGCACCCAGACUUUUCUUAUGUAUACAAUGGGAUGUGAACUUGCCGUCUCAUAUUUACAUAGACAGCAGUGAGUGGACAAAGGGGACUGUCUUGGAACAGCAUCCACACUGUCUAGGCAGCACACGGAAUGCUCAGUGAGAUACUUCACCUUGGGGCCAAUACUGAUGACAAACCUCUGGACAACUUCUAGACAAAGUAAAUCUACCUGUUGCCAUGGAUGCCUCAGUCCUUCCUGAAAACUACGGGUUGUCAACAGUUGCUGGGGAGUGGAGGUAUUGUCCCUGGGGUAUAGUCACUGGUAAGUUGCCCAUGUUCCAUUAAUCACCAUCAUUGUCACUGAGAAGUUGCCUGUGUUCCAUUAAUCAUCGUCAUUGUCAUGUUCAUGCAAACAAC